GGUUGCCUAGUAACAACCAACAGCCAUGUUGCCAUGUGGUAGUAGAUAGAAUUUGUCUCCUUUGUUCUUUGACCCCCUCUAUUACCUGCCCUCAGCCAAUUCAGAUCCUACCUUCUCUCUUUAGUUCAUUUCAGCACCUUCCUGACUCCUCCUUUCCCUUUCUGAUCCUGCGCUGAACUACUUGGGAACAUGAUAUGACUAUAACAAGGAUUGUGGAAAAGGCAAUGAGAAAUGACCAGUCCAACUACCAAGAGGAUACUUUAUAGAGCUUGAAAAAAACAGUAGUGGAAUUCAUCAUUUCAUCUGAAAAAUCAAAAAGGGAAGAAUCCAAAGAGAAACAAUGGAGAAAAAAGUAGGAGGAAGGUGUAAUGGUUCCUAAUCUCAAAUUAUACCACAAUGUAGUAAUCAUCAAAAUUUCGUAGUGCUGGUUAAAAAAUAGAGUUCCAUCAGUGCAAUUGAUUAGAUACACAACAUACAGAACCAAAUGAAAACAGAUGCAUAGGGUUUGAUAAAGCCAUAGAAAUCAAUUCCUGGGCAAAUGACUCACUAUUCAAGAAAAACUGCUGAGGAAACUGGAAAAAAGUCCGACAGAAGUUAGGUAUAGGCCAACAUCUCACCCUGCAUUCCAAGAUAAAUUCCCAAUAGAUAAAAAGCAACAGAAAAAAUCAAUUAAAGGAACAAGGAAGAACUACAUUUUAAAUCUAUGGAAAGGGAGAAAGUUCAUGACUAAAAAAGAGAAAGAGAUUAAGACAAGCUAACUGAAUAAUUCUGAUUACAUUAAAUUUAAAGUGCUUGACACAAACAAACUAAUCCAGUUGAAGAAAAUGGUAACUGAGAAAAUAUCUUUGCAAUAAAUUUUCUGAUGAAAUCUCAUAUCUAGGAUAUAUAAGGAACUGAUUCAAAUGUAUGAUGACGAAUAAUUUCUCAGUGGGUAAACAGUAAAAGGAUAUGAGGAGACAGUUUUUGAAGGAAGAAAUGCAAACUAUUAACAGGUAUACACAUUUAUUUAUAUAUAAAAUAUACAUGUAUUGAUAUAUAAAAUAAAUAUUUAUUAAAUA
Monodelphis domestica (gray short-tailed opossum) is the source of this 1058-nucleotide long non-coding RNA. RefSeq lists it as uncharacterized. NCBI's taxonomy places the organism in Eukaryota, Metazoa, Chordata, Mammalia, Didelphimorphia, Didelphidae. The record is from RefSeq and is a predicted model, not a curated record.